Molecule: ribosomal RNA, 434 nt
Filed under: uncultured Dorea sp.
Lineage: Bacteria; Bacillati; Bacillota; Clostridia; Lachnospirales; Lachnospiraceae
Description: partial 16S ribosomal RNA
Rfam family: Bacterial small subunit ribosomal RNA
Source: RNAcentral
ACGGAAGGCAGCAGUGGGGAAUAUUGCACAAUGGGGGAAACCCUGAUGCAGCGACGCCGCGUGAAGGAUGACGUAUUUCGGUAUGUAAACUUCUAUCAGCAGGGAAGAAAAUGACGGUACCUGACUAAGAAGCCCCGGCUAACUACGUGCCAGCAGCCGCGGUAAUACGUAGGGGGCAAGCGUUAUCCGGAUUUACUGGGUGUAAAGGGAGCGUAGACGGUAUGGCAAGUCUGAAGUGAAAGCCCGGGGCUCAACCCCGGGACUGCUUUGGAAACUGUUAAACUAGAGUGUCGGAGAGGCAAGUGGAAUUCCUAGUGUAGCGGUGAAAUGCGUAGAUAUUAGGAGGAACACCAGUGGCGAAGGCGGCUUGCUGGACGAUGACUGACGUUGAGGCGCGAAAGCGUGGGGAGCGAACAGGAUUAGAUACCCUGGUA